This 253-nucleotide ribosomal RNA is filed under the name uncultured bacterium. RNAcentral's name for it is "partial 16S ribosomal RNA". It matches the Rfam family "Bacterial small subunit ribosomal RNA", at positions 524 to 776 of the family's 1533-position model. The record is from RNAcentral.
UACGUAGGGGGCAAGCGUUGUCCGGAUUUAUUGGGCGUAAAGAGCGUGUAGGCGGUCAGGUAGGUCCGUUGUGAAAACUCGAGGCUCAACCUCGAGACGCCGAUGGAAACCAUCUGACUAGAGUCCGGAAGAGGAGAGUGGAAUUCCUGGUGUAGCGGUGAAAUGCGCAGAUAUCAGGAAGAACACCCGUGGCUAAGGCGGCUCUCUAGUACGGUACUGACGCUGAGACGCGAAGGCGUGGGGAGCGAACGGG